UCAAUGUUGUCUGACAAAUGUAUUUUUGUUAGUAAUCUGUGUGUUAUUUAUGAAUAUUGUAUGAUCUGGAAAUAACAGUAUAUAUUCCUAUAAAGACUAUUCAUCUUUUCUCUCUUAAAACUAAAGAUCAAAGACAAUAAAGGAUUCUGGGAAGAUAUUGUCUCAACCAAUGUUGAUAACUCUCUAGGGAAAAUUACUGAGGUGACUGUAACUGUGGGGAAUUGUGUCUGUAUACCGUUUAAUCUGGAAAACACUGCCGUGAUUUUAAUCCUGUGUUUCAUUUUAGAGGAACAACAGAUCAAAACACAGAAAAGAUCAUAAGCAAUCUCAAAAGGAGAUGGAAGAGGAAGAGAGCAAGAUGGAGUGAGAACCCACAGGAGGAAGACAUGAGGGGCCUGGAUCAGCUGCUAGACCAUGAAGAUCAGCGAGAAAUGUCUUGAUCAACCCACAAAACUGCAUAUAAAAAGUGAACGUACAUUUUGUUAAGCUAACACAAUAUAAAAUAUGGGUUCUAUUCAAGCUUAUUUGUGUUCUGUUAAUUUUCUAUUAUAUUUCAAAAUACUUUUCAUUUAAUAUUGAUUAUUAUGAAUGGAUUAAUUUCCAUAAUGCCUCUUAACAAAGCCACAUCAAGGUUAACAUUGGCCCACAGCCUGUAAAUCCUGGGUGCACCUCCAUUGCUCACACACAUUGCUCGUGUCUGACAUAAAGUGAGACAGGUCAAAGGGGGGCUUAUCUCUAAUGUUCAGAUUAACACUUUUUUAUUUUGAAGGAGCAAUUUACACAAUGUAGCAUGGAAGUAAGUACCAGUACCCUGACCUUAACUCUUUUAUUUAGCUAUCUUUAACUGUUCAGAGAAAGCUAGUUUACUAGAUAGUGGUAGUGGUGCUGUUGUCCUUGUUUUCCUCUAACAUUUCAUUAUUUUGCUGUCUAACACUCAGCUCCCUCUGUCCUAAAAUAUCCUGUGACGUCUGAAUUUUUUAAUGUUUUUUCUCCCACGCACUUCGUGAUAUAUUAGCUACACAAGAUAUUGCUGUAUUUCAUAUAAGGGAAUUUAAAUAAUCACUUAGAUUUAAACUAAUCAUUUAACAUGUUUCAAAAAUUUAUGAAGGGUAGUUGUUGUCAUUGGAUUACACAAAGGAUGCAACGAUGGUCACCAGUCAUGGUAGUUUAUCACCAUUCAUUUUUGUUUAUUUGUUUGUGUUUCAUUCAUUAAAUGCCUUUCCUCUCCUUAGAGAUUGCUGUGAUCUAAUUAUUUAUUUCUUGUUUAGUCCACCAUGUUUUCAGGCCCUCCAGCCCAGGACUCUGGGUAUUAGUCUUAAAGAAAUAGACAUUAAUGUAUUAUUAAAGUGAAUGUUUGUAAUGCAGAUUAUAAAUGAUACUUUAUGGUGAGCUUCAC
Long non-coding RNA from Colossoma macropomum (tambaqui), 1396 nucleotides. RefSeq lists it as uncharacterized. The transcript is spliced from 3 exons. The record is from RefSeq and is a predicted model, not a curated record. NCBI's taxonomy places the organism in Eukaryota, Metazoa, Chordata, Actinopteri, Characiformes, Serrasalmidae.